UACGAAGGGUGCAAACGUUGCUCGGAAUUAUUGGGCGUAAAGCGCACGUAGGCGGCUUAGCAAGUUGGAUGUGAAAUCCCUCGGCUUAACCAAGGAAGUGCAUCCAAAACUGCUGAGCUUGAGUACUUAAGAGGAUCGCGGAAUUCCCGGUGUAGAGGUGAAAUUCGUAGAUAUCAGGAAGAACACCAAUGGCGAAGGCAGCUCUCUGGGACGGUACUGACGCUGAGACGCGAAAGCGUGGGGAGCGAACAGG
RNAcentral lists this ribosomal RNA (253 nucleotides) under uncultured bacterium. Its description in RNAcentral is "partial 16S ribosomal RNA". It matches the Rfam family "Bacterial small subunit ribosomal RNA", at positions 524 to 776 of the family's 1533-position model. The record is from RNAcentral.